GACGAACGCUGGCGGCGUGCCUAACACAUGCAAGUCGAGCGAAUGAAGUUCCUUCGGGAACGGAUUUAGCGGCGGACGGGUGAGUAACACGUGGGCAACCUGCCUCAUAGAGGGGAAUAGCCUUCCGAAAGGGAGAUUAAUACCGCAUAAGAUUGUAGUACCGCAUGGUACAGCAAUUAAAGGAGCAAUCCGCUAUGAGAUGGGCCCGCGGCGCAUUAGCUAGUUGGUGAGGUAACGGCUCACCAAGGCGACGAUGCGUAGCCGACCUGAGAGGAUGAUCGGCCAGAAGGGGAAUAAGGCAAGGCGAAGACAACUACGGAAGGAAGCAGCGGGGAAUAUUGGGCGAUAGGUGAAACCGUGAUGGUUCUACGCGGCGGGAGGGCGAUCCGACAUCGGGUUGUAAAGCUAUCUCAUGAGGGCCGGUAUGGGGGGUACUUGAGGGGCAGUCGACAGAGAACUAAGUG
This 464-nucleotide ribosomal RNA is filed under the name uncultured bacterium. Its description in RNAcentral is "partial 16S ribosomal RNA". It matches the Rfam family "Bacterial small subunit ribosomal RNA", at positions 28 to 507 of the family's 1533-position model. The record is from RNAcentral.